ACGCUCGACACCUACGGGAGCAGCAGUGGGGAAUAUUGCACAAUGGGGGAAACCCUGAUGCAGCGACGCCGCGUGGAGGAAGAAGGUCUUCGGAUUGUAAACUCCUGUUGUUGGGGAAAAAGAGGAUGGUACCCAACAAGGAAGUGACGGCUAACUACGUGCAGCAGCCGCGGUAAUCUGAGGCGGGCUGGACAAGGC
RNAcentral lists this ribosomal RNA (198 nucleotides) under uncultured bacterium. Its description in RNAcentral is "partial 16S ribosomal RNA". It matches the Rfam family "Bacterial small subunit ribosomal RNA", at positions 328 to 539 of the family's 1533-position model. The record is from RNAcentral.